Terrapene triunguis (Three-toed box turtle) is the source of this 245-nucleotide long non-coding RNA. RefSeq lists it as uncharacterized. NCBI's taxonomy places the organism in Eukaryota, Metazoa, Chordata, Testudines, Emydidae. The transcript is spliced from 3 exons. The record is from RefSeq and is a predicted model, not a curated record.
GCUACAUUCUGUUUGACACGCUGUUGAUUUAAGAGAAAAACUAAAACUGCUCUGUCUUUUCUAGACAAUGGCAAUGAUCCCUGCCAGGCCACUUUUCUGAGCUGGAUCCUUUGUUGCUGGCCAGCGUAUGAAAGUGUGUACUGCUGCAGACCCUGGCACGUGGCAUCCACUCUGGCAUGCAAGGACGGUUACUCUCCUUUAACAAGCCACCAAUAGAAGCAGCAAGAACAGCCACCCGAAGUGCA